GGCCACACUGGGACUGAGACACGGCCCAGACUCCUACGGGAGGCAGCAGUGGGGAAUAUUGCACAAUGGGCGCAAGCCUGAUGCAGCGACGCCGCGUGAGGGAUGACGGCCUUCGGGUUGUAAACCUCUUUCAGCAGGGAAGAAGCGAAAGUGACGGUACCUGCAGAAGAAGCGCCGGCUAACUACGUGCCAGCAGCCGCGGUAAUACGUAGGGCGCGAGCGUUGUCCGGAAUUAUUGGGCGUAAAGAGCUCGUAGGCGGCUUGUCACGUCGGUUGUGAAAGCCCGGGGCUUAACCCCGGGUCUGCAGUCGAUACGGGCAGGCUAGAGUUCGGUAGGGGAGAUCGGAAUUCCUGGUGUAGCGGUGAAAUGCGCAGAUAUCAGGAGGAACACCGGUGGCGAAGGCGGAUCUCUGGGCCGAUACUGACGCUGAGGAGCGAAAGCGUGGGGAGCGAACAGGAUUAGAUACCCUGGUAGUCCACGCCGUAAACGGUGGGCACUAGGUGUGGGCAACAUUCCACGUUGUCCGUGCCGCAGCUAACGCAUUAAGUGCCCCGCCUGGGGAGUACGG
RNAcentral lists this ribosomal RNA (569 nucleotides) under Streptomyces sp. JMCACA1. RNAcentral describes it as "bacterial SSU rRNA". It matches the Rfam family "Bacterial small subunit ribosomal RNA", at positions 306 to 885 of the family's 1533-position model. The record is from RNAcentral. Lineage: Bacteria; Bacillati; Actinomycetota; Actinomycetes; Kitasatosporales; Streptomycetaceae.